This 254-nucleotide ribosomal RNA is filed under the name uncultured bacterium. Its description in RNAcentral is "partial 16S ribosomal RNA". It matches the Rfam family "Bacterial small subunit ribosomal RNA", at positions 524 to 776 of the family's 1533-position model. The record is from RNAcentral.
CACGUAGGGGGCGAGCGUUGUCCGGAUUUAUUGGGCGUAAAGAGCUCGUAGGCGGUUUCGUAAGUCGGAUGUGAAAACUCCAGGCUCAACUUGGAGACGCCAUUCGAUACUGCGAUGACUUGAGUCCGGUAGGGGAGUGUGGAAUUCCUGGUGUAGCGGUGAAAUGCGUUGAGAUCGUGAGGAACGCCCGCGGCGAAAGCGAGCGCCUGGACCCUUUCUGACGCUGAGACGCGAAAGCCAGGGGAGCGAACGGG